Molecule: ribosomal RNA, 279 nt
Filed under: uncultured archaeon
Lineage: Archaea
Description: partial 16S ribosomal RNA
Rfam family: Archaeal small subunit ribosomal RNA
Source: RNAcentral
GGCUCAGUAACAUGUAGUCAAUCUGCCCUUAGGACGGGAAUACCCUCGGGAAACUGAGGUUAAAUCCCGAUGCUCCAUCUGUGCUGGAAUGCUUGAUGGGGAAAAAACGCGGCGAAUCGUAGCCGUUAGUGCCUAAGGAUGAGACUGCACCUGAUCAGGUAGUUGGUGAGGUAACGGCUCACCAAGCCGAUAAUCAGUAGGGGCAAUGGGAGUUGGCGCCCCGAGAAGGGCACUGAGACAAGGGCCCUAGUCCUACGGGAUGCAGCAGGCGCCAAACCU